AUUGAACGCUGGCGGCAGGCCUAACACAUGCAAGUCGAACGAGUGGCGGACGGGUGAGUAAUGUCUGGGAAACUGCCCGAUGGAGGGGGAUAACUACUGGAAACGGUAGCUAAUACCGCAUACCAUCGGAUGUGCCCAGAUGGGAUUAGCUUGUAUGUGAGGGAACGGCUCACCUCGGCGAGGAUCCCUAGCUGGUCUGAGAGGAUGACCAGACACACGUGAACUGAGACACGGUGCAGACUCCUACGGGAGGCAGCAGUGGGGAAUAGGGCACAAUGGGCGAAAGCCUGAUGCAGCCAUGCCGCGUGUAUGAAGAAGGCCGUCGAGUUGUAAAGUACUUGCAGCGGGGAGGCGUUACCCGCAGAAGAAGCACCUGCUAACUCCGUGCCAGCAGCCGCGGUAAUAC
Molecule: ribosomal RNA, 406 nt
Filed under: uncultured bacterium
Lineage: Bacteria
Description: partial 16S ribosomal RNA
Rfam family: Bacterial small subunit ribosomal RNA
Source: RNAcentral